Long non-coding RNA from Cherax quadricarinatus, 1921 nucleotides. RefSeq lists it as uncharacterized. The record is from RefSeq and is a predicted model, not a curated record. Lineage: Eukaryota; Metazoa; Arthropoda; Malacostraca; Decapoda; Parastacidae.
GUAACUGUCAUCUUGACUGGUGAUAGUCACUAUUCUGACGGCUGUCCUGCACGAAUUACUCCUUUUAUCCUUGGAGAAAGGUCACUAGAGUUCAUGAGGACUAUCUACAUAUAUAGGUGUCGCACAUGUUAUGUCUAGAUGUCCCACAUACUGGAGGAAAUGGACUGUGGCGACAACUAGGAAGGUCUGCAGUUUUGUCUGCCUUGAAAGGGGUCAUAAGUGUACAGCAAUAUCCCAGCCUAGAGAGAGCAAGCGAUUUGAAGAGAAUCAUCAUUGAAUUGGCAUCCCUUGGUUUGAAGGUUCUCAUUAUCCAUCCUAUCAUUUUCCUAGCAAAUGUGAUAGAAACAUUGUUGUGGUCUUUGAAAGUGAGUUUCUCUGAUAUUAUCACUCCCAGGUCCUUCACAUUAGUUUUCGCUCAAUAGUGUGGUUGUAAUUUCGUCUUAUACUCCGAUCCAGUUUUAAUUUCGUAGAGUUUUCCAUAGUGGAGUAAUUGAUAUUUGUCUUCAUUGAACUUCAUAUUAUUUUCUUUAGCCCAUUUAAAGUCUUAGAUAAUGUUCACUUGGAGAUCUGCAGUGUCCUCAGUGGAUGACACUCAUGCAAAUUCUGGUGUCAUCAGCAAAGGAGGACACGGUAUUCGUCCUCAUAUCUGUCUGUGUCAAAUAUGAGGAUGAGGAAAAUGAGGGGAGCGAGUACUGUACCUUCUAGAAGAGAGCUUUUCACUGUAGCCGCCUCUCUGACUACUAUUUUUAUUAUUACUCUUUUUUGUUCUAUUUGUAGGAAGUUAUUGAUCAAUCCACCCACUUUUCCUGUUAUUCCUUUAACACGCAUUUUGUGUGCUAUUACACCAUGACCGCACUUGUCGAAGGCUUUUGCAAAGUCUGUGUAUACCACAUCUGCAUUUUGUUUAUUCUCCAGUGCAUCCAGGACCAUGUCAUAAUGGUCCAGUAAUUGUGAGAUGCAGGAGCGACCUGCUUUAAACCCAUGCUGACCUGAGUUGUGCAUUUGAUGGGUAUCCUUGUGGUUGGCGAUCUUGCUUCUAAGAACCCUUUCCACGAUUUUUAUGAUGUUUGACGUUAGUGCUGUCGGUCUGUUAAUUCUUUAUAAUUGCUUUACUGCCAUGUUUGUGGCAUAUAUAAAUCUACUUUUAUAAAGAUACUCUAAGUACCGGCAAAAAUUUUGUCAGCCAGUUACCAUCGUCGUUACAAGCUACUCAAAUUCAUUCUUGGAAAGAGUUUUUACUCUGUUUACAAAGUCUGAGUUACCUGAUAUUAUUUCUUCCCAGGAGAGAGAGAUUAGAGGAACGUUUUUUUUCCAUAACUGUAAAUAUAUGUAUGAACUAGGAGGUAUAUAAACAUCCUCAGAGGUAUACAAUCUAUUUGUUGCAGAAUAUAAAUUUUGUUUUGGUGCACCAACUAUGUUCUUGUACCCCCCAGUACCAACAAUACCACCAGUCCGAUGACAUUCUUCUUUGCAAAUAUACAGGGUCUAAAGCCAGCAACAAACAACAAAAUACCUUUCAUCCGUGGACUGCUUGCAGAGGCAAAGGCAAUGUUCGCGGCUUUCACUGAGACCCACAUAAAGGAUCACUUGGACAACGAAAUAUGGAUCCCAGGUUACAACCUAUACAGAUGUGACAGAGUGAACAGGCAAAAGGGAUGGGGGGGUUGGCCUGUACAUUGCAGAGUCACUUGUUUGCACAGAACUGCUUAAUGCCUCAAAUGAUGUAGUGGAAGUUUUAGCAGUAAAGGUCGAGAACCAGAACCUAGUCAUUGUGGUAGUCUACAAGCCUCCGGAUGCAACAUCCCAGCAAUUCCAGGAACAGCUGUUAAAAAUUGACCACUGUCUGGAAAAUCUUCCAGCUCCUGCACCCAACAUCUUGCUCCUGGGGGAUUUCAACUUAAGGCACCUAAAAUGGAGGAAU